CAGUCUCAGUUCGGAUUGAAGGCUGAAAUUCGCCUUCCAUGAAGCCGGAAUUGCUAGUAAUGGCAGGUCAGCAUACUGCCGUGAAUACGUUCCCGGGCCCUUGUACACACCGCCCGUCACACCAUGAGAGUUGGGAAUACCCGAAGCCUGUGAGCUAACUUUUAGAGGCAGCAGUCGAAGGUAGAAUCAAUGAUUGGGGUGAAGUCGUAACAAGGUAAC
RNAcentral lists this ribosomal RNA (219 nucleotides) under uncultured bacterium. Its description in RNAcentral is "partial 16S ribosomal RNA". It matches the Rfam family "Bacterial small subunit ribosomal RNA", at positions 1283 to 1500 of the family's 1533-position model. The record is from RNAcentral.